GACGAGCGCUGGCGGCGUGCUUAACACAUGCAAGUCGAACGGAAAGGCCCUGCUUUUGUGGGGUGCUCGAGUGGCGAACGGGUGAGUAACACGUGAGUAACCUGCCCUUGACUUUGGGAUAACUUCAGGAAACUGGGGCUAAUACCGGAUAGGAGCUCCUGCUGCAUGGUGGGGGUUGGAAAGUUUCGGCGGUUGGGGAUGGACUCGCGGCUUAUCAGCUUGUUGGUGGGGUAGUGGCUUACCAAGGCUUUGACGGGUAGCCGGCCUGAGAGGGUGACCGGCCACAUUGGGACUGAGAUACGGCCCAGACGCCUACGGGAGGCAGCAGUGGGGAAUAUUGCACAAUGGGCGGAAGCCUGAUGCAGCAACGCCGCGUGCGGGAUGACGUCCUUCUGGUGGUAAACCGCUUUCGCCUGUGACGAAGCGUGAGUGACGGUAAUGGGUAAGGAAGCACCGGCUAACUACGUG
Molecule: ribosomal RNA, 468 nt
Filed under: uncultured bacterium
Lineage: Bacteria
Description: partial 16S ribosomal RNA
Rfam family: Bacterial small subunit ribosomal RNA
Source: RNAcentral